GGUAAAUGUUUCAUGAUAAGAAUUUCAUGUCUUUUGUAUUAAAGAAUUAAAUGGAUGAAAUAUGAAGUUUUAUUAAAAGAAAAAGGGGUGAAAAGAACAAAGUUUUGUCCAUCUUUGUUCAUCAUAGCUGAAAGUUAGAGAAGAGAAAGGAGAGGAGAAAGCUCUUGAGUAUUCGGUCAUUAGGAGGAGGAAAAUUGAAGCCGGUUCGUGUGUGGAUCUCGUCAGCAUAUCGUCGCAAACAGGAAAUCCCCAACCAUAGUGGGCUUGGAGCUGUGAGGGAAUUUGGAGUGGCCACCCGUUCUGAAAGUUUGAUUUUCUUCUGGUGAACUGGACAUCCUUUUUUUUACGUUUGAAGUUUUGGGUUUUUAAAUGUAAUAAGGCCACUUAAUUAUUUUUGAUGGUUUUAAUAUGUAUUACUAAGAUAGGUAUUACUUAUUUUAACUGUUGAAAUUAGAUAGCUUUAGGGCGCGUUUUCAAAAACAACAA
This is a long non-coding RNA of Gossypium arboreum, 486 nucleotides long. RefSeq lists it as uncharacterized. The transcript has 3 exons. The record is from RefSeq and is a predicted model, not a curated record. Lineage: Eukaryota; Viridiplantae; Streptophyta; Magnoliopsida; Malvales; Malvaceae.